GACGAACGCUGGCGGCGUGCUUAACACAUGCAAGUCGAACGGAAAGGCCCUGCUUUUGUGGGGUGCUCGAGUGGCGAACGGGUGAGUAACACGUGAGUAACCUGCCCUUGACUUUGGGAUAACUUCAGGAAACUGGGGCUAAUACCGGAUAGGAGCUCCUGCUGCAUGGUGGGGGUUGGAAAGUUUCGGCGGUUGGGGAUGGACUCGCGGCUUAUCAGCUUGUUGGUGGGGUAGUGGCUUACCAAGGCUUUGACGGGUAGCCGGCCUGAGAGGGUGACCGGGCACAUGGGGACUAAGGGACGGAGCAGAGGGGAAGGGGAGGCAGCAGGCGGGAGUGUGGCACAGCGGUCGGGCGCCGGAGAAGGCGGCGCCGGGUGCGGGAAGCCGGUCUGUGGGGAGUGAAACGCAUUCGCCUAUGACGACGCGUGAGUGACGGUAACGAAAGAAGAAGCACCGGCUAACUACGUG
RNAcentral lists this ribosomal RNA (468 nucleotides) under uncultured bacterium. RNAcentral's name for it is "partial 16S ribosomal RNA". It matches the Rfam family "Bacterial small subunit ribosomal RNA", at positions 28 to 507 of the family's 1533-position model. The record is from RNAcentral.